GACGAACGCUGGCGGCGUGCUUAACACAUGCAAGUCGAACGGAAAGGCCCUGCUUUUGUGGGGUGCUCGAGUGGCGAACGGGUGAGUAACACGUGAGUAACCUGCCCUUGACUUUGGGAUAACUUCAGGAAACUGGGGCUCAUACCGGAUAGGAGCUCCUGCUGCAUGGUGGGGGUUGGAAAGUUUCGGCGGUUGGGGCUGGACUCGCGGCUUAUCAGCUUGUUGGUGGGGUAGUGGCUUACCAAGGCUUUGACGGGUAGCCGGCCUGAGAGGGUGACCGGCCACAUUGGGACUGAGAUACGGCCCAGACGCCUACGGGAGGCAGCAGUGGGGAAUAUUGCACAAUGGGCGGAAGCCUGAUGCAGCAACGCCGCGUGCGGGAUGACGGCCUUCGGGUUGUAAACCGCUUUCGCCUGUGACGAAGCGUGAGUGACGGUAAUGGGUAAAGAAGCACCGGCUAACUACGUG
RNAcentral lists this ribosomal RNA (468 nucleotides) under uncultured bacterium. Its description in RNAcentral is "partial 16S ribosomal RNA". It matches the Rfam family "Bacterial small subunit ribosomal RNA", at positions 28 to 507 of the family's 1533-position model. The record is from RNAcentral.